AUUGUUGAAUCUUGUUCUGGAUGAAGCUAUAGCAUUUCUGAGAGCUGAGUGAUCUGUUAUCGCUAGUCUGUGCAAUACUUCGACAAAUUAUAUCAUAUUGUAUUGUAAUUCUUGUUUGCUUCUGAAUAAUCAUCGGUUAUAUCAUUCUUCAAUUGGUUAAUUCAAUUUCAUAUCAUCUCGAUUAGAUACUCGUGACUUCAUGGGAAUAAUGUUUUGCUCUAAUCAACUCCUAAGAUGUUUCUUAAACCGUAUGAAGCUUAUGAUGUUUUCCUCAUAUUAUACGUUUAACUAUUUUCUGUAUGCAGAUCCAGAAGAUCCACUGAAGACGACUGAUCAGACACGUCGCCUUGGCUUAAUAGUUUGCCGUGGAACAGCAGUGAUGCUCGUUUCUCCAACAGAUGGAACAGACGAAAUUUCCAAUCCAUUCGUCCAGCCCGAUGGAGCAUAGUCUCGUUUUUCUCUGGUAUCAGUUUUCCUACUUUCUCUGCUUCGCAAACUUUCUGAGAUCAUUUUCAAAUUUUCAUCUACUUUUUUCGUAAUCAAUAUUUACAACGAUAACCUAUGGCAUAGGUGAAAAAUAUAAUCAAUUUGUGUCAACUUUCUCUAAUUUGGUUUGUAAUAUCGCAAUAUUAAGGUACUCCGAUAUGCUAUAUUCUCGCUAGACAUUUAUAUACUAUGGUUUAUUAUUCUAUGCUACA
Non-coding RNA from Erythranthe guttata (spotted monkey flower), 698 nucleotides. Lineage: Eukaryota; Viridiplantae; Streptophyta; Magnoliopsida; Lamiales; Phrymaceae. The record is from RefSeq and is a predicted model, not a curated record.